RNAcentral lists this ribosomal RNA (671 nucleotides) under Lactobacillus johnsonii. RNAcentral's name for it is "bacterial SSU rRNA". It matches the Rfam family "Bacterial small subunit ribosomal RNA", at positions 57 to 689 of the family's 1533-position model. Lineage: Bacteria; Bacillati; Bacillota; Bacilli; Lactobacillales; Lactobacillaceae. The record is from RNAcentral.
GCAGUCGAGCGAGCUUGCCUAGAUGAUUUUAGUGCUUGCACUAAAUGAAACUAGAUACAAGCGAGCGGCGGACGGGUGAGUAACACGUGGGUAACCUGCCCAAGAGACUGGGAUAACACCUGGAAACAGAUGCUAAUACCGGAUAACAACACUAGACGCAUGUCUAGAGUUUGAAAGAUGGUUCUGCUAUCACUCUUGGAUGGACCUGCGGUGCAUUAGCUAGUUGGUAAGGUAACGGCUUACCAAGGCAAUGAUGCAUAGCCGAGUUGAGAGACUGAUCGGCCACAUUGGGACUGAGACACGGCCCAAACUCCUACGGGAGGCAGCAGUAGGGAAUCUUCCACAAUGGACGAAAGUCUGAUGGAGCAACGCCGCGUGAGUGAAGAAGGGUUUCGGCUCGUAAAGCUCUGUUGGUAGUGAAGAAAGAUAGAGGUAGUAACUGGCCUUUAUUUGACGGUAAUUACUUAGAAAGUCACGGCUAACUACGUGCCAGCAGCCGCGGUAAUACGUAGGUGGCAAGCGUUGUCCGGAUUUAUUGGGCGUAAAGCGAGUGCAGGCGGUUCAAUAAGUCUGAUGUGAAAGCCUUCGGCUCAACCGGAGAAUUGCAUCAGAAACUGUUGAACUUGAGUGCAGAAGAGGAGAGUGGAACUCCAUGUGUAGCGGUGGAAUGC